Molecule: long non-coding RNA, 757 nt
Organism: Vicia villosa (hairy vetch)
Lineage: Eukaryota; Viridiplantae; Streptophyta; Magnoliopsida; Fabales; Fabaceae
Exons: 2
Source: RefSeq, a predicted model, not a curated record
GGUGUCAGAUUUUGGAAAGAGAGAUAUUCCUCUCUUAUCUCUAAAAAUCUCGGUACAUUCAAAGAGGAAGCCAAAGAAUUCACUUAAAAAAAACUAAAACAAAAAUCAUUUAAUAACUUUCCUUCUCUUUCUCACAUAAUAUCUCCAUAUCUCUCUCAUCCUAUCAUUAUUUAUAAACAAAACAAAUAUUAAAAACUUCACAAAAACCAAACCAAACACGGUGGGGCUUAUGAAGCUCAACGGUGGCCGGAGCUAUUCUGGCGCGGCGGCCGGAAACAAACAAAUCCAGAAAUAAAAAAAAUAACAUCACUAUGUUCGUUUUUCCGCCCUCAUUUCAAAUAUCAGGUUCAUUUUUGGAGAAAGUUGACUCACAAGCACAAAUCUAAAAAGAAAGUGCUCGAGAUUUAAGUUCUAAACAAAUGUAAAUAUCACUACAAUCAGAAAUUGAAGGGAGGAAUCGUUAUCAGAGAGUAACUCUCAACCUUUUGAUGUGAGCAGAGGAAGAAAACGCUGGAGGUUUGAAGAUGCCGGCGAAGGUAUGAAGUUUCCGGCGAGUUCUAAUGAGGAAGGAUCUUGGACUUGCAAGAGAAAUAAUGCCGUAGAUGAAGCUUGGAGAAUUCAAGUAACAUGCUCUCAAAAACAUUUGGUGAAUUGCUUUUACUAUUAGGAAGUAAUGAUACUUUGUAGAACUUAUAACCAAUUUGAUUUGAAUCCUUGUUGCUUUACAAAUCUUGAAUGAACUUUCAUAAAUUUUUUU